RNAcentral lists this long non-coding RNA (1084 nucleotides) under Sus scrofa (pig). Its description in RNAcentral is "lncRNA (ENSSSCG00055010169.1)". Lineage: Eukaryota; Metazoa; Chordata; Mammalia; Artiodactyla; Suidae. The record is from RNAcentral.
AAGAUCUAGAAUUCACUAAUACACAUGUCAGUGCAGACAUUAGCAGCACACAUUGAUUUUUUUUGCCUAUUUGUUUCUUUCACUUGCCUUCACUAAACUAAUAUCCCAUAAUACAACUAGACCCUCCUUUCCCUUCCACAGGCAACAGCCUUUUAUUGUGGAAGAAGACUCAAAGGGACAUAGACAAAGGAAAGCAAGUGAUGGGGAAAUGACUGGUUCUAGAUGGCUCCAAGGGUAAUUUCCAAAGAUUUGGAAGAAUUUUAACCUCUUGGAAGAGGGCACUGGAUUUAAAUCAUUAUAGACCAAGACAAAACACAUGCAGUGACUACAAUGGAAGAAUAGAUUCUAAAUGUUCUAGAGAUGAUGUAAGUGACAAAAAUUCAGAUUCAAAAGGGGGAAGAAAGGUAUAGGUAAUAUAAACAUUUUGUGGUGUAAAUGAAACAAUCGAUUUUGUUGGUUACUCUAAACAUUUGUUUCCGGCAAAAGAAGCACAAAUUUCUUANAGGGUCAGAAGCACAAAUUUCUUAGUCACCCUCACUUUCUGUUCACUUCUACUACAUCUCUAAAAGUCCAUUUUCUUGGCAUAUAGCUGUCUUUCAAAGUAUCCAAUCUGAGAUUUUUUUUUAUACAGGGGAUAUUUAAUCCAUUUGCAUUUAUUAUAAUUACUAAUAUAUUUGAAAUUGUUUUUUUCAUAUUUUUAAUAUCUAUUUAUACACCUUUACUAUCUUGAUUUUGUAUUAUUAAAUUCUUGCCACCCCCCCUUAUUUACUUCUAUAAUGGAAAUGCUACUUCUUUCUUUCAUUAAAUUCUUGACUUUUAAUAUGCGUAUGUUCCGCUAAUAUCUGAAGAUAAUGAAAAAUCUCAAUUUUCUUUUUGGAAACACAAAAAUUUCAAUUUCAAAUUUACCUUCCUAAUCAAACAAUUUAUUUCUUUGAUUUUUUAUUCCCCAAAUUGUACAUUAUUAUUUUAAUGAAAAAAUUUAUUUAGAUAUAUCCAUGUUCAUCAAUUUUUUAUUCACCAAUCCAACUUGACUUCUGUGUGAGCCAUUGAAUUCCCUUUUUUUUUCGCCUUUUUGCCUUUUUGC